GAUGAACGCUGGCGGCGUGCUUAACACAUGCAAGUCGAACGGACUUUUAAUGAAGCCUAGCGAUUUAAAAGUUAGUGGCGGACGGGUGAGUAACGCGUGAGUAACCUGCCUUACAGAGGGGGAUAACGUUCGGAAACGAACGCUAAUACCGCAUAAUGUAUCUGAUACCGCAUGGUAUUGAUACCAAAGAUUUUAUCGCUGUAAGAUGGACUCGCGUCUGAUUAGAUAGUUGGUGAGGUAACGGCUCACCAAGUCGACGAUCAGUAGCCGGACUGAGAGGUUGGCCGGCCACAUUGGGACUGAGACACGGCCCAGACUCCUACGGGAGGCAGCAGUGGGGAAUAUUGGGCAAUGGGCGCAAGCCUGACCCAGCAACGCCGCGUGAAGGAAGAAGGCUUUCGGGUUGUAAACUUCUUUUAACAGGGACGAACAAAAUGACGGUACCUGUUGAAUAAGCCACGGCUAACUACGUG
RNAcentral lists this ribosomal RNA (473 nucleotides) under uncultured bacterium. Its description in RNAcentral is "bacterial SSU rRNA". It matches the Rfam family "Bacterial small subunit ribosomal RNA", at positions 28 to 507 of the family's 1533-position model. The record is from RNAcentral.